RNAcentral lists this ribosomal RNA (459 nucleotides) under uncultured bacterium. Its description in RNAcentral is "partial 16S ribosomal RNA". It matches the Rfam family "Bacterial small subunit ribosomal RNA", at positions 338 to 795 of the family's 1533-position model. The record is from RNAcentral.
CCUACGGGUGGCAGCAGUGAGGAAUAUUGGUCAAUGGGCGGGAGCCUGAACCAGCCAAGCCGCGUGAGGGAAGAAGGUACAGCGUAUCGUAACCCUCUUUUGUCAGGGAACAAAGGCGGGGACUAGUCCCAGAAGGAGGGUACCUGAAGAAAAAGCACAGUUUAACUCCGUGCCGGGAGCCGCGGUAAUACGGAGGAUGAGAGCGUUACCAGGAUUUAUGGGGUUAAAGGGGUGCGCAGGGGGACUGUAAGGUCAGGGGGAAAGGCCCGGGGCUAAACCGCGGAGAGCCGUUGAAACUGGCGGGCUGGAGUGCGGGAGAGGUACGCGGAAUGCGCGGUGUAGCGGUGAAAUGCUUAGAUAUCACGCAGAACCCCGAUUGCGAAGGCAGCUUACGGGCUCCACACUGACGCUGAGGCACGAAAGCGUGGGUAUCGAACAGGAUUAGAUACCCCAGUAGUC